AUUUAAAAUUAACAUUAUUAUUUCUCAUCCUACAAAGAUUCUCAUCAUUAACGCCCCCGCAACUGGCGUAGAGAGUCCAACACUCAUAUAAAUAUUAGUCUAUCCAUUACGUACAUGUAUUUUCUACAUGGAUACCAAGUUUCAAGUCAAUCGGAUGCACGGUUCAGUAGUCAUAACGGAACAUCCGUAAAAACCACUGUAGAUUUAUAUAUUAGUAUAGAUUGUCCAAGAUUGUUGGCUGUUCCUUUUGACUGAUGUUUGUUGGUAUUUUCGCUCUCAUAGCUCAACAUAGGGCAUAUCUUAAAUGAAAAUCUGCCAUCCCCUUAACACUAACGGCCGUUUUCAAUAACCUAUCUAUCCCUAGUUUCGGUUACUAAAGAUAGACAAAUCUAUAUUUUUGUCCUUACUUACGUUCCAAUAACCUAUCGACGGGCAGCAGUUCCUAUCGGAUUUAUCUAUCCAUCGUCGGGAGGACGGAUAGCCUGCUAAAGAUAGAACGCUCAUACAAAUCGUGCUUACUUUCGUUUCAAUAUGAGUUUUAAGUAACUCUCCGGUAGGCAGCGCUAUCUCCAGUAUGGGCAUUCGCUUAUCUGUCAAAAUCGGCCGGUUACAUGUUUAUCUUUCGAAAGUAAAUCGCUAUAAUUUAAUAAUUGUUUCUCUUCAUAAUGGCAUAUUGUAGCAGUGAUGAUAGUGAUAUGGAAUUAUUUCAAAUGAUAAUGGAUUGUGAUGCAGAUAGUGAUAGUGAGGCCGAUAUCAUAUGGUUAGGAAAAUAAAGAUCGUCUGAAUUACAUGGCGAAGAUCAAUAAUUACGAAUUUGACUAUAGAUUUCUGAGCAAAGGUGUUGUGAAUGAAUUGAUUAAUUUAAUGAGACCAUAUUUGAGUGUAACGUCAAAAAGAUUCAAAUAUAGGAGAGGAAUUUAGAAAUAGAAAAAGAGUAUUUUGAAUGUGUAAUUUGUGUGCAAUGCAUUAUUGAUGUUUCAAAAUGUUGUUGCUUGAUGGCCUGGGUCUACUCAUGAUACAACUAUAAUUAACCAUUCCGAUUGAAAAGAUGCAUUGGUGUUUGUAAAAGAAGACUCCCUGUAUAUCAUUGAAAAGUAGAUUAAAACUAGAAAAUAUGCAAGCUGUUAUUAUAGCUGCCAUGCUGCAUAAUAUCAUCAGAAGUAUGAAUUUAGAAGAAUUAGGAUCAGAAAUUUCAGUCGCAGAUACAUUACAGGAAAAUAAUAUAAUUGUUCGUAACAAUUUUUCAAAACUUACAUCUGAAAUACAACUAUGUACUUAUAAAUAAUUGCUUCCAAAGAUAAUUUAUAAAAUAAACUCCAAAGAUAA
Bombyx mori (domestic silkworm) is the source of this 1326-nucleotide long non-coding RNA. RefSeq lists it as uncharacterized. The transcript is spliced from 3 exons. The record is from RefSeq and is a predicted model, not a curated record. Lineage: Eukaryota; Metazoa; Arthropoda; Insecta; Lepidoptera; Bombycidae.